This 1075-nucleotide long non-coding RNA is filed under the name Ananas comosus (pineapple). Its description in RNAcentral is "long non-coding RNA (ACOM_LNC004908)". Lineage: Eukaryota; Viridiplantae; Streptophyta; Magnoliopsida; Poales; Bromeliaceae. The record is from RNAcentral.
GUAGUCUCACACUAUCUCAUUUUAGUAUCCUGUGAUUUAAAGUGUAUCAAUUUAAUGUCAUGUGGUUUUAUUUUUAUCUUUUUAUUAUCGAUUUCACUAAUUUGUUUCAUUAAAUCAGUGAUAAAGUUAAAACUAAAAGGUACUAAAGUGAAUAUUCGAUAAACCUAGGUGAAGUAUUUGAAAUUUUUUUGUAUAUAAUUUAAUAAAAUAUUAACGAAAAAGCUGACGAAAAGAUAAAAAUGAAACCACAAGAUACUAACUUUAUACACUUUAAACUAUAUGGUACUAAAGUGAAAAAGUGUGAAACCACAGGAACAGCAUUUGAAGUUUACCCUUAUUAUUAUUAUUAUUAAACUAUGGCUAAAUUGCGAGUUUGGUCUAGGAAUGUCGAUGGGUACACAAACCUAAAUUUUUGUCCAAAUUCAAAUUAGGGCAUGUUUGGUUGUCUGUAAGUGAUCGAAGUGAACAAAAAUUACUUUUCAAAAAGUGACUUUUAUAAAAGUCACUCUUUGAGUUCAAGUGUUUAGUUUUAAAAAAAUGAAAGAAAAAAAUACAGUUUUUAUGACUUCUAUUGUUUGGUUCUGUAUAAGAAAAUAAAAAAAUAAAAUGAUUUUUUUAUGAUGCGUAGUUUUUUUUUUUUUUAGAUGGUAUGAAAUAAGGCACGUUUCUUUCUUUGUUUUUAUUUUUUUAAGAUGUGUUGGUUUUUUUUUGUUAAGAUACGGUGAUUUUUUUAUUUUUUUAUUUUUUAUUUUUUAGAUGGUAUGGAAGAAGAUUUUUAAAUGCGGUUCGUAAGUAGCGUGGAGUAGGCGGCCCACUUUCAACGACUUUGAAAUUUUUUUUGCCGAAGUCAAAAAAGUGGAUUUUAGUUAUAAUCUACUUCAUGGGUUCACUUUUCAAAAGUGACAUAUAUAUUUUUAUAAUCCAAACAGCGGAAAUAAUCCUACUUCGCCAAAAUAUCACUUUUAUUGUUUUACUUACGGGCAACCAAACAUGCCCUUAGAAUGAAUCGUGUUUAUUCGAUACUAAACGGAUAUGAUUUUAGAUACAUGUCUAAAUAGUAAAAAUUCAACGAAUU